AUGGCGGACGAACUGCUGUGAAUUUAGGGUUGAAAGAUUCGAUGUCGCACUGAAUGGUCAGUUUAUUACGACAGUUGUGUUACAUUUGAUGACGGAUGAUGAGCUGUUCUAAAAAUUCGUCUCGUCUUCACUUUUACAUCGGAUGUGUUCAGUAACAUCUUUCUACCAUGAUGAAAUUCUAAUUUUACCAGGAACCCCCCGACAGUCACAACAAACACCACGAAAUUUAAGCGAUUAUUUUAAACAUUCAAGCGUGAUAGCGUGAUCCAAGUCGUGUUACAUUCAUUAUCGGUCACGAAGAAAGUAGCAGAUUGAAGUGAUGAUGCUGAGAUGACCUAAGGAGCAAAAGUUUGGAUGCAAUUGACAACAUGCUGGAUUUGUCUAAACUUUUUUAAGGAAGCAACGUCCUGCAGUCUUGUUGCAGUUGGGUGAGGGAAGCGAAUAUCUCAAGAGGAUCGCAAACUUCAGAAAGAGAAAAAGGACAUUAUUUGAACAUUGGCAAUUUAUUAAAGACUAUAGAAUGGUUAUGGCACAAUUUCCAGCUGCAGACUGCGUAAGAGACAUACAGGAUGAUAGAGUGUACCAAAAAUUCAUCCAGCAUGACCCUUGUGCCAGAGGAAAGAAAGUACUUUUAAUUGUAGUUACUACUGCAGUGCACUGUUGAUUAAGUCCAAGAAGUUUAGUAUCAGUGGCCACUUAUUUGUUUUCUUGUGGAGUUACCUCCUCAAGAAAGAUACAAAUUUGAAAAUAUCUUACUAACUGGACUGUGGUAUGGGAAGUCUAAACCACAUGUGCCACUAAUUUCAGAACAUUAUACCAGUAAAUUAUUCAAUAUGGCAAAUGGUAGUAAUUAUAGUAAUGAAACAUGUGAACUUGUGUCAUCAGUGUGCAGAAUCCAAUCUGUUGUACCACACCUGCCUGCCAAAGCCUUGCUUUUAAAUAUCAAGCAGUACAAUGGUAAAUUUGGCUGCAGUACGUGCAAACAUCCAGGGAGGUACAGUCAUUCUGCCCAGCAAAUACGUGCAAGGCUGUACGAAUACUGGCCUUCUGGCACUGUGGCUGUCAGAGCAGCACACGAAACCAGGAUGUUUGGGAGAAUUGGGGAGGCAAGAGGCACCACAGUGUUUGGUAUUAAAAGAGAAAAUGUGUUUUGUCAAUUGGUUGACAUUUCAGACAAUUUACCUAUUGACUGAAUGCAUUGUGUUUGCAAAGGCAUCCUGAAAAGACAUGCAGCUAUUCAAACCUUGGUUCAAUCCUCAGUAUGCUACAGAGUCAAACAGUUUGCUAGGAAUUAGUCAUGAGCUAGACAAUAUGUUCCUGUCUAUCAAAGUUCCACAUGAGUGCCAUGUAGUAUUGCUGAAUUAAAACACUGAAAAGCAUCAGAAUUUUGUUUGUUUGCCCUCUUUGCUGGACUGCCAUGUCUUCAGUAUGCUGUACUUUCUAUCACUUUGCACUAUACUGCUCUUCAUUUCCUGCACUCAGUUCCUAUUUCCAAACCUUGUGUAGAGGAGGUUCAACUUUUACUUGAUAACUUUGUGAAACUUUUACCAAGUCUUUAUGGUAUUGAAGAGUGUACAUACAACUCCCAUGCUUAAUUCCACUUCUCUUUCCAAGAGUUCUUGGCCAUGGUUCCUUAGCACUUACUUCUGCUUUUGUAUUUGAAGCAUUCAUCGCUCACCCUAUAAAUCUGUUCUCUGGAACAAGGGGACUCCCAAAGCAAAUAGUGGAAAAAUUAAGGGUAUGCCAAACCUACAAGGUGCAUGUUCCACAGAAAUGCAAAUCCACACCCAGUGCUACUAGGUUUGCAAAACAUCUGCUUGGUGAAAGGCUCAGUGUUCGGUAUACAGAAGGGAAAAUCCUGCUACAUGAACCUGUGCACUUUGAGAUGCUGACACAGUUUCAAAAUGUCUUUUUUGCAGCAUUUGGAAGUGGUCCUGUCCCAGAAUACUUGGUUUCCUAUAGGACGACAAAAGAUCAUGUCACCUUCCAUAGCAUAAUGUAUCCUAGAAAAGGAAAUUUGUGCAGCUACCUUGUCCAGUUUUGUGCACAUGGGAGGAAAUGCUAUGGUAGAGUGGUUUGCUGCGUCCUCUUCUAAAAUGUGGCCUAUGCAUUGAUCACCGAGUGUGGCUUGAAUAGAUUGAUUGUUUGCCAAGACCUUCCUCCACCACAGGAUGUAGUCCUGAAGGAAGUUGUUCAUAAUUGGUCAACUUUUUCUCUACGUUCAAGAAAGCCAAAGUCUCUUGCAUGUGAAAUGUGGUGAUGUUAUCAACAGGUGUCUUUAUGUUUAAGGCUAGGAUGGGAAAGGUUUCAUCACCUUUCUAGAAACUUCCUAUGAACAUGAUUAGUUAUUAUUUUCAACUAGCUGUUAAGUGUCUUUCAUAUUCAAUCAUUAAAUUUAAUCUGAAAUAUCUGUCCAAAUUUAAUCUGUUAAUACUGUAAAUGUUAAGUUUCCUGUGCACUAGGCCCUGUCUCUGCCGAGGUUUUGUCAUUCAACGCUGAGGUCAAACCUCAGUGCACAUGUGUUUUUAUUGCUUGUUAUUUUUGCCUUUUCUUUGGAUGAUUUUGUAACUAGACUUACAUUGAAGGAAUAGAACAUUACAGAACCAUUAUGGA
This is a non-coding RNA of Pocillopora verrucosa, 2613 nucleotides long. NCBI's taxonomy places the organism in Eukaryota, Metazoa, Cnidaria, Anthozoa, Scleractinia, Pocilloporidae. The record is from RefSeq and is a predicted model, not a curated record.